This 482-nucleotide ribosomal RNA is filed under the name uncultured bacterium. RNAcentral describes it as "partial 16S ribosomal RNA". It matches the Rfam family "Bacterial small subunit ribosomal RNA", at positions 28 to 523 of the family's 1533-position model. The record is from RNAcentral.
GACGAACGCUGGCGGCGUGCUUAACACAUGCAAGUCGAACGAUGAACCCGGAGCUUGCUCCCUGGAUCAGUGGCGAACGGGUGAGUAACACGUGGGCAACCUGCCCCAGACUUCGGGAUAACGCUUCGAAAGAGGUGCUAAUACCAGAUACGAACUCCUUGGGCAUCCUUGGAGUUGGAAAGUUUUUCGGUCUGGGAUGGGCCCGCGGCCUAUCAGCUUGUUGGUGAGGUAACGGCUCACCAAGGCGACGACGGGUAGCCGGCCUGAGAGGGCGACCGGCCACACUGGGACUGAGACACGGCUCAGACUCCUACGGGAGGCAGCAGUGGGGAAUAUUGCGCAAUGGGCGAAAGCCUGACGCAGCAACGCCGCGUGAGGGAUGACGGCCUUCGGGUUGUAAACCUCUUUCAGCAGGGAAGAAGCGAAAGUGACGGUACCUGCAGAAGAAGCACCGGCUAACUACGUGCCAGCCGCCGCAGUAA